GAUGAAGAACGCAGCGAAAUGCGAUUCUUGGUGUGAAUUGCAGAAUCCCGUGAACCAUCGAGUCUUUGAACGCAAGUUGCGCCUCAAGCCAUUAGGUUGAGGGCACGUCUGCCUGGGCGUCACAUAUCGUUGCCUGAUGCCAGUUUCCUCGUGAUGGGUGACUGUGCAGGGCGAAUGAUGGCUUCCCGUGAGCAUUGUUGCCUCAUGGUUGGUUGAAAAUUGAGUCCUUGGUAGGGAGCGCCGUGAUAGAUGGUGGUUGAGUGACGAACGAGACCCAAUCAUGUGAGACCCCUACCGAAUUUGGCCUUCAUGACCCACAUGCGUCUUUGGAACGCUCAUGACGAGACCUCAGGUCAGGCGGGGCUACCCGCUGAGUUUAAGCAUAUCAAUAAGCGGAGGA
Molecule: unclassified non-coding RNA, 400 nt
Filed under: soil metagenome
Description: partial contains 5.8S ribosomal RNA, internal transcribed spacer 2, and large subunit ribosomal RNA
Rfam family: 5.8S ribosomal RNA (bases 1-122)
Source: RNAcentral